Molecule: non-coding RNA, 169 nt
Filed under: chicken gut metagenome
Description: Lysine riboswitch
Rfam family: Lysine riboswitch aptamer
About the family: Riboswitches are metabolite binding domains within certain messenger RNAs that serve as precision sensors for their corresponding targets. Allosteric rearrangement of mRNA structure is mediated by ligand binding, and this results in modulation of gene expression.
Source: RNAcentral
UGAUAGAGGUGCGGCGGCGAUCAGUAGCCUCCCCCGGUACCCAGGCCGGCGGGGGAGGGGAAAGGCGUCUCCGCCGAGGUCUCCGGGACGGGCCUGACGGGCCGGAGGCUGGGCUGUGGGAGAAGAUCCCCCAGACUGUCGCCCCUUCUUGGGGGCGGAGCGCUGUCGU